RNAcentral lists this ribosomal RNA (162 nucleotides) under Campylobacter coli. Its description in RNAcentral is "partial 16S ribosomal RNA". It matches the Rfam family "Bacterial small subunit ribosomal RNA", at positions 1 to 156 of the family's 1533-position model. The record is from RNAcentral. Lineage: Bacteria; Pseudomonadati; Campylobacterota; Epsilonproteobacteria; Campylobacterales; Campylobacteraceae. RNAcentral also lists the same sequence under 1 other name.
UUUUAUGGAGAGUUUGAUCCUGGCUCAGAGUGAACGCUGGCGGCGUGCCUAAUACAUGCAAGUCGAACGAUGAAGCUUCUAGCUUGCUAGAAGUGGAUUAGUGGCGCACGGGUGAGUAAGGUAUAGUUAAUCUGCCCUACACAAGAGGACAACAGUUGGAAA